This 1182-nucleotide ribosomal RNA is filed under the name Triticum aestivum (bread wheat). Its description in RNAcentral is "partial small subunit ribosomal RNA". Lineage: Eukaryota; Viridiplantae; Streptophyta; Magnoliopsida; Poales; Poaceae. The record is from RNAcentral.
AUGCUUCUCCUCAAGAAACACGUCCUCCUCCUCUCUCUCCGUCCCCGCGCCACAAGUGCCAUACUCGCGUUCCGCCACCGAUGCCUCUUCUCCAACACCCGAUUCGCCGCCACCGCCGCCGUGGCAGCGUCGGCUAGCCCUGCUCCGUUCGCCAUGGAGGACUACCUCGUCACGUCUUGCCACCUCACCCUGGCGCAGGCCGUCAAGGCCUCCAAGGUCCUCUCCCGCCUCAAGUCCCCCUCCAAGCCCGAGGCCGUCCUCGCCUUCCUCUCCGACCUCGGCCUCUCCGACGCCGACGUCGCCGCCGUCGUCGUGUACGACCCUCUCCUCCUCUGCUCCGAGGUCGACAAGACCCUGGCCCCGCGCCUCGCCGAGCUCCGGGACCUCGGGCUCUCCCCGUCCCAGAUCGCCCGCCUCGUCCUGGUCGACCCCGCCCGCUUCCGCCGCCCCACCAUCAUCUCCAAGCUGCAGUACUACGUCCCCCUCUUCGGCUCCUUCGAGAACCUCCUCCAGGCGCUCAAGUACAACUCCUACCUCCUCAGCUCCGACCUGGAGAACGUUGUCAAGCCCAACGUCGCGCUCCUCCGGGAGUGCGGGUUAGGUGACUGUGAUAUUGCCAAGCUAUGCAUCCCCGUGCCGAGGCUGCUCACCAGCAAGCCAGAGCGCAUCCAGGCCAUGGUGGCGCGUGCCGAAGAUGUCGGUGUGCCCCGUGGCUCUGCGAUGUUCAGGCACGCGCUGCUGGCUGUUGCAUUCCUCAGCGAGGAGAAGAUUGCUGCUAAGGUGGAGUUCCUGAAGAAGACAUUCAGGUGGUCGGAAGCUGAGGUGGCCAUUGCUGUUGCCAAGCUUCCGGUGGUGCUGAGGAACUCCCAGGAGAGGCUGCUGCGCAUGUCGGAAUUCUUGAUGUCGGAGGUUGGGUUAGAGCCGGAGUACAUUGCUCACAGGCCGGCAAUGCUCGCUUGUAGCUUAGAGGCUCGGCUCAAACCUCGGUACUAUGUUGUGAAGUUUCUUAAAGAACAUGGAUUGCUAAAGCCUAACCGAAGCUUCUACACCGCAGCCCAGGUGAGCGAGAAGGUAUUCGUGGAGAAGUUCAUACGUCCUCACAAGGAAGCUGCGCCUCGCCUCGCUGAAGACUAUGCUGCCACUCUCAAAGGGGAAGUGCCCACUAGAUUCAGAUUGCAAUAA